GACCUGCAUUCCAGCCACCGUGAAUAGUCGCGCCUGUUGGUUUCAGCACUCGCUUUAGUUACGGAAAAUUAUGCUAUCCUGGUAUUGUCUCGCCCUACGUGUCUCAGAAUUUCAUGAAGCGUUCAACCGGGGAAUUAAGACACCCUACUAGUACUAGUAUUCAUGGACAGUCGCCCUGUUUUGAAGGCUGAGCAAGGUAAUUCGUAACUCCGUGAUUGACAUAGCUUCGUGGGUUAAAAAAUAAACUUCUCAUACGUUUCCAAUGUUCAGGGAGAGAGAAGGCAUUCGUAUAUAUUAACAGCUCUAAAUAACCACAGCAAUAUGAACGGAAUGAUCAAGGAUGAUGAUGAUCGUGAAGCUGCUCAAUGCCCAUAUUAGGCUUAGUGAGAACUACUCCAUCGAUUAGAAUUUCACAACUAUUCUCAAGAGUUAAUUUUACUACAUAUCUUAAGUAUUAGUGCUUUCAAAGUAUAGAAAUGAGCACUUAGUUUGUAUAAUAGUAUAGUGAAUUUAUUUUUAAAAUAUUCUUAAGAGAAGUAGCUAAAUAUUUUGAUAAUAGCACCCC
This 565-nucleotide small RNA is filed under the name Histoplasma capsulatum. RNAcentral's name for it is "hypothetical RNA". RNAcentral also lists the same sequence under 1 other name. The record is from RNAcentral. Lineage: Eukaryota; Fungi; Ascomycota; Eurotiomycetes; Onygenales; Ajellomycetaceae.